GGUUGGAGGGGCACCUGCCUUCUCAUUAGCUGGCCUAACGAGCCUGCACCCCAUGGACCCCAUCUCAAUGAAUUAUCAGCUGCUAAUCAAAGGGACAAUUGCCAAAACCACCCCACUACAUCGUGGGAGGGAGCGAGUGGGAGACUCCACCCCACCCCAGCCUCCAGGGACACCUCAGAUGUGAUUAAGUACAUAUCCUGAGACAGACAGAGGUAGACCAUGACUCAGGGACCCAGGACUGCUCCACAGGUGACACAGCUCCUGACACCCAGCCAGCUCAUGGGAGCAGAGAGCCCAUAGGAAGGCUGGGCUCCGAGGCUGCUCCUGGCUGCACUCGCUCUCCCGGCUGACCUCCAGGAGACUCCUCGGACACCUCGUGACCCUCACCUGCUCUCAGGGGCCCAGGCCUGGCCACGUGCACAUCUCAUACCCUGGCCGCCGCCUUCGGUUCAGGGCUGGACACAGGCCCCGAGUCAGAGAGGUGAGACGCUGUCGCGGACGUCUGCCCGGACUCUGAUCACGUGGAGGGCCUGCUUUCUCCGGGGCUGGAAGCUGCAGGACGCCUGCCCGCGCUCAGUAACCGCGCCCGCUCAGGUCCAGGGAGACAGUCUGUGCGCAGAGAUGGGAGGGGCGGCCUCAGGCUGCUGUCCGAGCUCGGUCACCCCAAGGAUGCUCUGCCCGGGACUGUCAGUUACAGAAGACGGCGCUCGCUCUCUGCGCUCACCUAGUGUGUGAUGAGAUCCUGUGACUUGUGACCAAAACCUCUGGACACUUGACCGUUGUUAACAUUGAACAAUAACACAGUUUUAUAUGAGCUGAGAAGGAGGAACUGAGGCCAAAGCAAGGAAGAAAAGCCCUCCCUGUCCCCACACCCCCUCGGGCCCCUCCCCUCUGAUGUCACUCUUCCUGCAGGGACAGCGGGGACAAGAGACGCCUCUUCCUCCAGAU
This is a long non-coding RNA of Bos taurus (domestic cattle), 948 nucleotides long. The record is from Ensembl. Lineage: Eukaryota; Metazoa; Chordata; Mammalia; Artiodactyla; Bovidae.